UCAUCUCCAUCAUCUCUCCCACCACUAGAAUCACAGGGAUUCUCAUCACUGAUGUAAUUCCACAUGAAAUUAUGAUAAGAAAUCUCAUUCCUUGAUGGAACAGAAGAGCUUUGACUUAAACGAAAAUCUCUAUCAGCUGAUGAACUAGUAUUGCCAGCAUCUGAAGACAUAGCCUCUGUAUAAUGACAAUCACGAGAACCAGAGUAAACUUUGGCUCGCUUAUUAUGCAUAUCCCGAUCGCAAUCCUCGCUACCACUACCUGUCACUGCGGCGGCNNNNNNNNNNGCUGCAGUGGAACUACUACUCUCUCCCUGGCCUCGCUGUGCGAAACAAAUCGCGGUCUUCCUCAAGUCAAGCGGGGCAACCACAUGCACCACCUCGUCUAAACCAGGUGCCCCCUCGUCCCAAUUGGCACGGCCACUACGCAUCGCUCUAAUCAUAUCCUCGAACAACCUCAAGGGGACCUGAUCAUCACGCUCCAGCCUAUUGUCAGUCAACGCAAGCGCUAAUCUCGUAGCUGCAGUUUCCUCGGCGUUAUUCUCAAUGUUGCUCUCAGGGUUGUUGUCAUUCUCGAAAAUGCCCUCCCUCAUGGCUUUAUCCUGAACGUUGUUACUCUUUAACGGUGCUUCUUCGUCUUCGAAAGUGAAGCAUAGGCAACACCAAAUCUUCAUGCAAUUGAAGGCAAAGGUAGCACCUUUACGAACCCUAGAUGACGAUCCGAAGCAUUUCCACCUCAGAAUUAGAAGAAAAAAAGAAGCCCUAAUUUUGAGUGAAAUUGAAGAGCUGCUCUCGAGAACUUCGCCGCCAAACAACGGAAUCAGGAUUGAAUUCUUCGUGAUCAGAGCAGGUGGACGACUCACCCGAUAUAUGCAAAAAUGAGGUAGGAGCAUAGGGAGCCACAGAGAGAGAGAGAGAGAGAGAGAGAGAGAGGGGUAGAGGAAGGGAAAGGGAAUAUCAACGGAUCUGAUCGGAUCUCGUGAGCUGCUUGAGAUAAUG
Molecule: unclassified non-coding RNA, 996 nt
Filed under: Hevea brasiliensis (rubber tree)
Lineage: Eukaryota; Viridiplantae; Streptophyta; Magnoliopsida; Malpighiales; Euphorbiaceae
Source: RNAcentral